UUUGGAUUGAAGGUAA
Molecule: small RNA, 16 nt
Filed under: Arabidopsis thaliana (thale cress)
Lineage: Eukaryota; Viridiplantae; Streptophyta; Magnoliopsida; Brassicales; Brassicaceae
Description: ATSL294940
Source: RNAcentral